Molecule: non-coding RNA, 309 nt
Organism: Paramuricea clavata
Lineage: Eukaryota; Metazoa; Cnidaria; Anthozoa; Malacalcyonacea; Plexauridae
Source: the annotation of a GenBank genome assembly
UUAGGCUCGGAGCCGAGUUCCUUAGGUUCGGAACCGAGCUCUUUAGACUCGGAGCCGAGCUCUUUAGGCUCGGAGCCAGCUCCUUAGGCUCGGAGCCGAGCUCCUUAGGCUCGGAGCCUAAAGAGCUCGGCUCCGAGCCUAUGGAGCUCGGCUCCGAACCUAAGGAGCUCGGCUCCGAGCCUAGGGAGCUCGGCCCCGAGCCAAAGAAGCUCGGCUCCGAGCCUAAGGAGCUCGGCUCCGAGCCUAGGGAGCUCGGCUCCGAGCCUAAGGAGCUCGGCUCCGAGUCUAAGGAGCUCGGCUCCGAGAUAC